Small nuclear RNA from Salvator merianae (Argentine black and white tegu), 164 nucleotides. Its record names the gene U1. It matches the Rfam family "U1 spliceosomal RNA". Rfam says of the family: U1 is a small nuclear RNA (snRNA) component of the spliceosome (involved in pre-mRNA splicing). Its 5' end forms complementary base pairs with the 5' splice junction, thus defining the 5' donor site of an intron. The record is from Ensembl. NCBI's taxonomy places the organism in Eukaryota, Metazoa, Chordata, Lepidosauria, Squamata, Teiidae.
AUACUUACCUGGCAGGGGANACACCAUGAUCAUGAAGGUGGUUUUCCCAGGGUGAGGCUCAUCCAUUGCACUCCGGGUGUGCUGACCUCUGCGAUUUCCCCAAAUGCGGGAAACUCGACUGCAUAAUUUGUGGUAGUGGGGGACUGCGUUCGCGCUUUCCACUG